GGACUGCAUUAGUUACUUUUCUGGCCAUGA
This 30-nucleotide non-coding RNA is filed under the name Rattus norvegicus (Norway rat). Lineage: Eukaryota; Metazoa; Chordata; Mammalia; Rodentia; Muridae. The record is from RNAcentral.